This 334-nucleotide ribosomal RNA is filed under the name uncultured eukaryote. RNAcentral's name for it is "partial 18S ribosomal RNA". It matches the Rfam family "Eukaryotic small subunit ribosomal RNA", at positions 1470 to 1796 of the family's 1831-position model. The record is from RNAcentral.
CCCUUAGAUGUCCGGGGCCGCACGCGCGCUACACUGAAGGAAUCAGCGUGGCUUUCUCCCUGACCCGAAAGGGUUGGGAAACCCGUUGAAUCUCCUUCGUGAUAGGGAUCGGGGCUUGAAAUUGUUCCCCAUGAACGAGGAAUUCCCAGUAAGCGCGAGUCAUAAGCUCGCGUUGAUUACGUCCCUGCCCUUUGUACACACCGCCCGUCGCUACUACCGAUUGAACGGUUUAGUGAGGGCCUCGGAUUGGUCUCGGCCCGCUCUUUACCGGGCGGCGCCGUUGGUCGAGAAGACGCUCGAACUUGAUCGUUUAGAGGAAGUAAAAGUCGUAACA